RNAcentral lists this ribosomal RNA (450 nucleotides) under uncultured bacterium. RNAcentral's name for it is "bacterial SSU rRNA". It matches the Rfam family "Bacterial small subunit ribosomal RNA", at positions 354 to 796 of the family's 1533-position model. The record is from RNAcentral.
GUGGGGAAUAUUGGACAAUGGGCGAAAGCCUGAUCCAGCCAUGCCGCGUGUGUGAAGAAGGUCUUCGGAUUGUAAAGCACUUUAAGUUGGGAGGAAGGGCAGUAAGUUAAUACCUUGCUGUUUUGACGUUACCGACAGAAUAAGCACCGGCUAACUUCGUGCCAGCAGCCGCGGUAAUACGAAGGGUGCAAGCGUUAAUCGGAAUUACUGGGCGUAAAGCGCGCGUAGGUGGUUUUGUAAGUUGGAGGUGAAAUCCCCGGGCUCAACCUGGGAACUGCCUCCAAAACUGCAUGACUAGAGUACGGUAGAGGGUAGUGGAAUUUCCUGUGUAGUGGUGAAAUGCGUAGAUAUAGGAAGGAACACCAGUGGCGAAGGCGACUACCUGGACUGAUACUGACACUGAGGUGCGAAAGCGUGGGGAGCAAACAGGAUUAGAAACCCUAGUAGUCC